UAUUUAGGUAUACACAACAUCCCAUUGAAUUGGAAAAAAACUACCGAUGUCGAUCGAGUAACGGAUCUCUUCUUCCCCCUUUCUUUCAAUGUCCUCGUGUACGCCCAUGUGAAUGUGGGUGUAUUCACGAGGACACCCUUAUCUUACCCUAUCCCGUCUGGUGUAAUUCAACUCUUCAGCGGACGGAUGGAGCAACUGACCGUAGAUGCCUGGCUGUGUUUCCCAGGCCUAAAGUUGAAACCACGAGAUGCGUUCGUCAGGUUAAAACCCUCAGCCACCGGUUUUUCAUCUCUACAAGGUCAAAUAUUUCGUGACUCGUGUAGUGAUGUCGAUGCCUUCAGCCAACCAACCUUCAGAGCGUCCAUCCAAGAUAACUAAUAGCCAUCAACUUUGAUUUUUGAACGGUUAAAACAACAAUAAUCGAAUUCCCAAUGACUCUGGGAGGUAUUAUCGCUAAAAUACUGCCCACAAGAUUUCUCAAAUAAUUUUCUUUUUAUCGUAUUAACAAUUUAACACAACUUCUGCUCCCGUUUUGGCUCGGCCAAUCAACGUCCAACCUUCCCUUUUAGCCGCCAUACCAAUUAUUCUUUUAUUAUAUUCUAAACUUCCUUUUAUUUUAUCACACGAAUUAAAAUUCGGAAACACAAGACGUUUAUGAUGUUAUCGGAAUGUUUCUUUUCUUCAAAUCAAUGUAUUCUUCUACUCUUUUUAAAUAUUACAUCGACAUUUUGAACGUCAGUGUAAAAUUAAAUAAGCCCCGUCGAUAUCUAGAGCUACGGCAACAUUAAAUGGUUGUUGGAGCUCUUGAUUUCGAUAACAUCCAACAAGCGAAGCUAAAAACUAUGCAAAGAUAUAAUAAGUAUGUAAGCAUGAAGCAGGUCUGUUGUGUACUUGCUGUAGAGCAUGUCGAGUGAUUAUUGUGAGGUCCAUUUGCAUUUCAAUGAGCCGGUCGCGGUGGAAGUCGCAAGCAACACGAUUGGUUUAU
This is a long non-coding RNA of Daphnia pulicaria, 985 nucleotides long. RefSeq lists it as uncharacterized. The transcript has 2 exons. Lineage: Eukaryota; Metazoa; Arthropoda; Branchiopoda; Diplostraca; Daphniidae. The record is from RefSeq and is a predicted model, not a curated record.